This is a long non-coding RNA of Sinocyclocheilus rhinocerous, 1168 nucleotides long. RefSeq lists it as uncharacterized. The transcript has 2 exons. Lineage: Eukaryota; Metazoa; Chordata; Actinopteri; Cypriniformes; Cyprinidae. The record is from RefSeq and is a predicted model, not a curated record.
GUAAGUAGUGCUCCAUUUUCCUAGCUCUCGCAGUUGUUAGCACCAUUUUGUGAUGAACGAGGGGAGAGAGGUCGAAAGAGCUGUGGAGUAGAAGUAGAUUGGUGUUUUUAGCCAAUUUUGUGGGAUAUAGCUUUGUUUUUAAGUUCUUAAAUAUAUUUGGAAGAGGGGCGGUAGUUGUACAGUUCUCGGGCGGCAAGUAGAGAAGUUUGGAGUGUGAGUUUUGUCGAGUCGCGCUAAAGCUACACAGCUAACAGAUCUACACGAGUCUUUCAGAGAAAAGGAGAGAUCCCUGCAAGUCUGAAGAAACAUGAGUGCCCCUUCUUCUCAAAAAGUCGUGCUGAAAAGCACCACCAAGGUGUCCCUGAAUGAGCGGUGAGGCGCUACGCAUCCUGACAGCAUUAUCUCAAGGCCAGGGGGAAAAGCAUACAGAGAUAACUAAGGCAGCAAGCCUCAAGACACGUGUACUAUGGAGGUCAUUGAGGGGGAGACAUCAGACCUGACGUGGACGCUAGACUGCCCGCACGGUGUGCGCCGCUUACCCAACAGGACGGCGAUUACUUGAGUCGAUAUUAAAGAUCUGAUAGCAUGCCGUGUUUGGCGGUGUCUCUUGCGUAAGCGGCGCACACCCGGAGGUGAGAGGGUAAUGGCGAGGUAAGCCGACUGCACUGCAGAAGAGCAUCCUCAGCCAUGGGAAUGAGUUGAUAAUGCAGGAUGGUGUGUGUGCCAUCUGUAUUUCUUACCCUCUCUCACACAAAAACACACUCUCUCUCUCUCUCCCAGAAGAGUUUUUCUGCUCCUCCUCUGCGUUUCUCACUUUCUCUCUGGCUGUCUACAGAAUAAGGUGCUCAGUCCGUACCUAGACGUGACCUGUCCCCCCCAACCCCCUUCCCUUCUUCUCAUCAGAGGCGUCUCACAGAACAGCGUGCCAGGUCACGGUCUUGGUUGUAAGUGGCUGGGUUGCCAGACACCCCUCUAGCCCUGGGUCGACUCACCGCGUGGUGUCUCGGACUGAUGACAUUACAGUCGGUUGAUGGCGGCCUGUAAGUGGCAAUCACUCAGAAAUCUCCCUGCCUCUUCUCUAUCUCUGUCUUCUCUUUAAACCACAUCGUAGACGUUCAGUUUAAAGCAAAUAUGUUGGGGUGUCUUCACAUGUAAUCGAGAGAGAGAG